Polypterus senegalus (gray bichir) is the source of this 1482-nucleotide long non-coding RNA. RefSeq lists it as uncharacterized. The transcript has 4 exons. The record is from RefSeq and is a predicted model, not a curated record. NCBI's taxonomy places the organism in Eukaryota, Metazoa, Chordata, Cladistia, Polypteriformes, Polypteridae.
UUUUGGAGCGCUUUUUUGUGCUAAGAAGCAUCUCUGGGGGUCUUUACUGUCCACGGCUAUUAGGCAAAGCUAAGCCUCCUCAUGACGUGCUCUCUAAGUCCACUUUGAAAGUUCUGCACAACAUACAUUUGUGUAUCGGUUGUUUGAUUGACUCUGUUAUGUGUCCCGUGAGUCCGUCUCCUCGUUGUUUGUUUCUUCUGCUCUAUGCGUUUGAAUUUCCCCCUGGGAUUAAUAAACACGAUGUAAUCGAAAAGCAAUCACAACUUUACAAAUUAAAGAUUAUAGAACGAGUACUUACUGCAUCAAAAGGCAGAUCAGUCUAAACCAGCGCCUCCCAACCCGGGGGCCGUAGUGACAUUGCAGGUGGGCUACGGCCAAUGCGGGAUGAAAACACACACCCCUCCCCCACCUCACCAUCCCAACAAUCUCUUGAUUCACAGGUGGAUCACGGCCAAUCCUGGAUGACAGCCCCAACUCCGGUUCUGUGGGUCGCGCUUGAUUCAUCCGAUGCUCUGGUGGUACCAGAGGACCCCACACUCCCUUUGACAAUCUCAUGGGGAAACAUCCCCCCCCAAACGAUCGCUCUAAACCCCCAGAUGCGGUAGCACGAGCCAAUGAGUUUGACCCAAUUUCAACCCACAUCUCCAUGAAGACCAAACUUCACCUCCUCCGGACGCUGCUCCUGCUGGUCCUCCUUUAUGGAUCACAAGCAUGGAUGGACCUUACUCAACCUGGAUCUGAACAAACUCGAGAGAAAUCAUUCAAUUGACUGGCAGAACUCAUGUAGGACACCGUUGGACAAACAUCUUCUGUCACGUGCACACGGGUGACGGAGAAUGUGAGGUCUUCUAAUGGAGGCACGUAAGUCAGGUUCCCACCGAUGAGGACAGCGUUGGACUCGUGCUGCUGUGGCCCACUUUUCAGUCCUCAUCCUCCUCUCGCUUAUGAAGAAGACCCUGAGAUACCUGAGGCACAGUAGUGUAGUCCAGGGUAUACGCAGAUGAGAUAUUCUAAGACACGGUUUAUAAAAGAAUCUCCUUUCCUCAUGGACUAAGAAAAUGGAUACAUUAUGCAGUCGACUCCCUCUGUAAUCUAUGAAGCAGACAGAUCUGCAUCUCUGGUUUGUUGAUCUCAUAAAUGAUCCUUGAAGUGAAUGAAGUCCGGCAGCAGAUGGAAACAGUGCUGUCCCUUUCUAGUGGGAACUAAAUAUGUCAGACUGUCACUAUUAAUAACGGGGCACUUUGUUCUUUUGCUGUGUAGGCCGCUAAAAAAUUUGGGGGCUGAAUUCACAGUAUACCCACUUCUCCAGACACCACUGCACCAGGCAGCAGGUCGUAGCCAACCUCGAGAGGGCACGCCACCAUCUUCUGGCUGAGAGCUUUUGGGGGCAUCACCGGCUGCACACACCCACCCAGUGCGUGUCUGACGUCACAGCCCACUGAAGCAGAGAUGUGAUCCUGAGGUCACCGAACUGGACACCCC